UUUAUUUUUCAUGUUUACUUUUGAGAGAGACGGGGAGAGAGAGAGAGAGUGAAUGAGCAGGGGAGGGCCAGAAAGAGAGCAAAACACAAAAUCUGAAGCAGGCUCCAGGCUCUGAUCUGUCAGCACAGAGCCCAACCUUGGGUUUGAACUCAGGAACUGUGAGAUCAUGACCUGAGCUGAAGUCAGACGCUCAACUGACUGAGCCACUCGGGUGCCCGAGGAACAAGCCUUUAUAGUUUAUUCUUGUCUGGGGUGGAGUUGGGGUCCCUGCCGGUGCCUUGUGGGAUAAUAGUUGCUUUUCUGCUUCACAGAACUUCAUUCUGUGGGUGACCUCUUCAUUGUCCUUGUCUUGAGUUAGGGAGCUUUGAGAGAUUGAAGGUUAAUUGGAGAUUUAGGAGUUAAAAAGGGGUGGAGGUGGGGAGGGUACGAGAAAGGAGGGAAGAGUUUGGUAGUGUUUUUGUACCUUGUGUGAAUUAAAGAUAUCUGUGUCCCUUGUUCUUCAUCGCAGGAAUGACUUCCCCACACUGACCCAGUGGCUCAGGCCAAAACCCUAGGAGUGCUUUUCAGCACUUCCUUCCCCUUUCCGAGCCCACCUGUGGUCUGUCCCACCUUUCCUCCAUGUUCUGUCCCUCGUGUGAUCCUGUUCUCCUCACGUCUCCCCAGGACCCCCAUUAUGACCUUCUCAUGGCAGCUGACUCUUUACCGCCCCGCCCUCCUGCCCCCCUACAAUGUAGCUUCUAGAACCACAGCCAGAGUGAGGACUUCAAACUCUAAAUAAAAUAAUGUUGUUCUCCUCAAAACCCUCGUGGCCUACAGUUUCAUGGACUAUAAAUGGCAAGCUCCUUGCCAUGAAACAAUAUGGUGGUUCCUCAGAAAGAGAAACCUAGAAUUACCGUAGAAUCCAGCAGUUCCACUUUUGGAGAUGCACACUGAGGGUUGCAGACCCACCUUCAAAAAAGCUACCCAAAGUCUCUGUCCAUGUAUCUGAUCUUGGACCCCACCUCCGAGCAGCAGCAGCAAAGUAGAGCCAUUUGUGCUGUGGCAUCUGCAAUUUUGGUGACUCAUGAACGAUCAUCUUUUCUCUGAAGGAGCAGGAAUGAAGAAUUUGCGACCAGUUUAUCUUCUCGCUGUCCCUCCCCUUUAGGACAACUGCCUCAUGCUGGAUCCUUAAUUUAAAGAAAAUGGAUGUUUCCCUCUGGCCUGAAAGCUGGGGAUUCUUAUCAAAAGUGACAUUAAAAAAGUGCCAGACUGGCCUCCUCCCUCUCGCCUGCCCAUCCUUCAUCACUCCUGCCCGUCUCCAUCACUGUCUCCCCAUCUCAAGAGCUGUCUCCACUUCCUGGGUCCCUGGAGAGAAAGCAUGAGCUCAUUGUUCUCCAGUGAAAAACCAGACUUGGUCUCCUUCUUGCCUCGUUUGUCUGUCAGAGCCUGGAGAUUGAUGGUCCUUCCAGCAGCCGAAACUGCCUGGGGAAGCCGAUGCCUCCUUCAUUGGGUGUCUGCACCCUGUGGGGAGGGUAUGGGGAGGGCAGUGAAGGCUUGGGGCUCUGAACUUUCUAGAAGGUUAUUAGGGCUGUGAUGGGAAUAAGGGAAUGGGUUAUUUACUAUACCCUCAAUGGUGAUUUAAAGCCAUACCUCACCUUCUCCUCCUCUCUCAGGCAGCUGGUUUCAAGCUGGAAAAUACAUGAGCACAUGGAGAAAAGCUGCAGCCAAGACCUUACAGGGAAGACGGGUGGUGUGGGGCAAGCCCAACAACGCCUCGUUCUUUAUUUCCUUUGGUGAGGGAGUUACUGUGUAAUGACACUUUAAAAAUACCAGGUCAAAAACCUGCUAAAAGAUUCAGAACUGUCUCCUUUUCUGGGGGAAAAGGCACUCAGAACCCAGGAAUGUGGAAAUUAGGAUAAAGAAAAUAGAUCGUACCAAAGAUGAGAUGAACGUUAUUCAUUAAAAUUUUUUUUUAAUGUUUAUUUUUGAGAGAGAGAGAGACAGAGUGUGAUGGGGGGAGGGGUGCAGGGAGAGGGAGACACAGAAUCCGAGGCAGGCUCCAGGCUCUGAGCUGUCAGCCCAGAGUCCGACGUGGGGCUUGAACUCAUGAACCACAUAAUGAUGAUGACCUGAGCCGAAGUCGGACGCUUAACUGACUGAGCCACGCAGGCGCCCCAGAGACGAGGUGACCCUUAGCACAGGAGAUCGUGAAGCGUUCGGUGCUAUUUAGAUGUUGGUCAAGGAGGACAGCCACUCGAUAAAGUAACCAAAAGGGGCUGGUGAGUGAAUGGAGGUGCGGGCAGAGAAAUGGAACUGUGCUCAGUGGGGUGACUGGGGGCACAGAUCUCGGUUGUGAUGUGAGGCACGCGGCAGUCACCCAGCAGGGAGGCCUCCGUUCUAGUUCCUAAUUGGAGUGUUGAGUGCCAGACGAUGACGGACACGGGAGGCGCUGUCUCCAGUGGGGCCAUCCUGUUCGAGAGCGGGGACUGGGCUGUCAGAUGGGGUGCCCGAAGUGCCGUGAGCCUGGAGGUAGGUGAGCGGUGUCCAGAUUUUUCAAUGAAGGAGGAGAUUGUUGGGAUUCGGUGAACCCAGACGAGCAGCUGAGCUCGAGGGAGCUCUGGAAAACUGUCCAAAGGGCUUAUUAACCAGAUGGCGGGUGAGUGAUCAGCAAGGAGGCUGUGAUGUGCAGAGUCCAAACAAGCUGCGCCAAGCUGGCCUCGUUCCCUUUCUGGCUAUGCCUCUUAGGUUGACGGGGUGAAAGAUACACAAGUGGACGAGAUGGGGAAGUGGCUCUGGGUGGGGGAUGGUGGGUGGAUCAGGGGUGUGAAUUCCUGGCAGGCCCAAUAGUCCUAUCCAAAGUGCUUUCUCUCUCUCUUUUUUAUUUUGUUUAAUUUUUUU
This is a long non-coding RNA of Acinonyx jubatus (cheetah), 2877 nucleotides long. RefSeq lists it as uncharacterized. Lineage: Eukaryota; Metazoa; Chordata; Mammalia; Carnivora; Felidae. The transcript is spliced from 2 exons. The record is from RefSeq and is a predicted model, not a curated record.